UACAGAGGUCUCAAGCGUUGUUCGGAAUCACUGGGCGUAAAGGGCGCGUAGGCGGCGCGGGUAGUCAUCGGUGAAAGUUCAGGGCUCAACUCUGAAUCGGCCGGUGAUACUCCCGUGCUCGAGCACUGUAGAGGCAGGUGGAAUUCCGGGUGUAGUGGUGGAAUGCGUAGAUAUCGGGAGGAACACCAGUGGCGAAGGCGGUUGCCUGGAGCUUUGCUGACGCUGAGGCGCGAAAGCGUGGGGAGCGAUCCGG
This 253-nucleotide ribosomal RNA is filed under the name uncultured bacterium. RNAcentral's name for it is "partial 16S ribosomal RNA". It matches the Rfam family "Bacterial small subunit ribosomal RNA", at positions 524 to 776 of the family's 1533-position model. The record is from RNAcentral.